RNAcentral lists this long non-coding RNA (969 nucleotides) under Brassica napus (rape). RNAcentral describes it as "long non-coding RNA (BNAP_LNC019197)". The record is from RNAcentral. Lineage: Eukaryota; Viridiplantae; Streptophyta; Magnoliopsida; Brassicales; Brassicaceae.
AUCUGGGCUUUUAUUAUAAUAGCUAGAGUAAGCCCAUACAUUGAGCCUGUUAGACACCCAUUAGGUUUGUCUCCCGUCUUCCCCGACGAUGAGAUUUCACCAAAAUUAUGAACGCGUCUAGCUCUUUGUAACGUAUCACCUUCAAUAACUCUGUUCAUUACUCUUAGUUUUCUUUGACUACUCCACUCAGCCCACUUGCAUUCAUUCAACCGAUUCGUUUUACACCAUAACCACCGGCUGAAGCCUCCACUAUAAAUGUCGUACUUUUCUGCGAUGUUUAGUUCAACUCAAACAAGAUCCAAAAUAAUACUCUUUCCUAGCAAUCGAUUUCAAUGGCGGGUUAUCCCCGAUUGAUUGAUUAGAUCUUUCUCAUCACUGAUGCUUGAUUCAUCUCCCUUGUGAUUAUAAAUCCUCACUUUUCAGUAAGGCGAAUUCGAGUGUAGGUAUUCCUUGGGUGAGGUUUCAAGACGUUGCGGUCCGUUCGGUUUGGAGUAUGAAGACAUGAAGUUUUGGUCGUGUUCUGACGGCGCUUUAACAAAUACCUAGGCCGACUCUCCGAGUUCUUAUUCUACGGUGGUAGAGUUUAGAUUUUCAAUCAAUUGGGCGUUUAUAUGCGAAGGUUUCUAAGCAAUGCAAGCGAGUGAAAUAUGAUCUAGAGGCUCAAGCGACGAUUAUUGAAGUUUUUUCAAGCACCAUGGAUGAUGUUCUAGAACUGGAACUAGGAUUACGGUGGUGGUUUGACAAAAGAAAAGGAUUAUGGUGGUGGUUUCGCUGGAAACGAGAUAGCGAUGACAUCACAUCUCGAGAUCUUCAUAGCUUCUCUUAGAUUACACGUGCUGGUCAUUAAAAUUGUUAUUGGGCUGUAAUCUUAAUUUGGGCUUCCUCCUUGCAUUGUAAUAUUUAUUUGCCAGUUUGGGUUUAAUGAAAUGGUAGGCACGUUAGGGGCAUAAUGUUGCAGCUCAAUGUCCC